RNAcentral lists this non-coding RNA (37 nucleotides) under uncultured Symbiodinium. The record is from RNAcentral. Lineage: Eukaryota; Dinophyceae; Suessiales; Symbiodiniaceae.
CCGGAAGGAAGCAGCAGAAGCUACACUUUCUCGAGGC